AGUCACUGACAUUAGAUACCCGUGUAGUCCAGGGUGUAAACGCUGCAGACUUGGUGUUGGGAACCCUUCGGGGGUGCUCAGUGCCGGAGAGAAGUUGUUAAGUCUGCUACUUGGGGAGUACGUCCGCAAGGAUGAAACUUAAGGAAUUGGCGGGGAGCACCGCAACGGAGGAGCGUGCGGUUUAAUUGGAUUCAACGCCGAAAACUCACCAGCAGCGACUGUUACAUGAAAGUCAGGUUGAUGACCUUACUAGAUUUUCAG
This 261-nucleotide ribosomal RNA is filed under the name uncultured archaeon. Its description in RNAcentral is "partial 16S ribosomal RNA". It matches the Rfam family "Archaeal small subunit ribosomal RNA", at positions 717 to 982 of the family's 1478-position model. The record is from RNAcentral.